Molecule: small RNA, 153 nt
Filed under: uncultured Acetatifactor sp.
Lineage: Bacteria; Bacillati; Bacillota; Clostridia; Lachnospirales; Lachnospiraceae
Description: Clostridiales-1 RNA
Rfam family: Clostridiales-1 RNA
Source: RNAcentral
CAAAGCAUCCUGUUCCUCGUGCUUGCACGAAAGGAACUGGAAUGCCUUGAGACCCGCAAAAACAUGAGACAGUAGCGAUUUGCGCAGCAAAUCAGCGAAUGUCGAAUGUUUUUACGGAUUGCGAGAGUUGCGAAGCAACGCAGCAAUCCGUGU